Molecule: long non-coding RNA, 1116 nt
Filed under: Homo sapiens (human)
Lineage: Eukaryota; Metazoa; Chordata; Mammalia; Primates; Hominidae
Description: MIR29B2 and MIR29C host gene
Source: RNAcentral
AGCUUUCUAAAAUCUCUUUAGGGGUGUGCGUAGGCUCCUGUGUCUAUGCCUGCUUUUGACUGCCCAGUUGAAGCCUCUUCCUAUGCCUUUUAAAAUUUCACGCACUAUAAGGAGGAAGAGCUCAGGGCUCCCAAAACUUUUUAUUUAGAGGGAAGAAUGCUAGGGAGAUGGGUAUGCAGAGGGUUGACCAAAUUGGAAGAAAAUAUUUAUUCUGUAGUUUGGUGUUGGAAAAGGGAAUUUUCCAAUCAGCCACACCUCAGUGUUGCGGCAAAAUAAUUCUUGGCUCCCCUGGAAACGCAUGGGCAAGGUAGGGCAGAGCUGCUGCUGCUGAUACUGCCACCACCCUGGGCUUCCUGCUGACUCUGGGCUACUCCCUGGGGACAACAGAUUUGCAUUGACGUCCGGGGCUGUCCAGAGGCCCUCAAGAGCCAGUUGUGAGCUGAGCCCAGUAUGGGAAAGAUCUACCUUCUGGAAGCUACUACUACGUGGUGCUUGGAAAGAGGACUCAGGAGAGUGCAGCUUGCUCUGUGAGUGGGUGACAACCUCUUGGCGACUCAGGCUCAGCUGAGGAUGGUGCCAGUGUGCCGGAGACAGCCGUCAUACUGCCGGAUAGAGUGGCUCACUUGCAUGUAUUUGGAACAAAAAAAGGAGAUGCCUGGCAGCCCCGCUCUCUGCAGUGCUGUUGAGCCACCAAUUUUUGUGGUUUUGUGACCACAAGUGCUGACUGAUGCGACAUGACCCCAGUCUUGUCAGUGAAUCAUCACCAGGCUGCUUACUGGAAACUGGAUGCAGCAAGGAAAUAGGAUUUAACCGCUCUCUGCCUCCCAGGGAGGAGCAGAGGCUGUGCUGCAAGAGGCUGGGGCAUGUCUCUGGAGGAGCUCUUGGGAACAGGAACGUGCUUCUCCCAGCGAGAGCAGCCAUGCCGUCUUAAAGCACUAGCUUUCUUGAAAGCAGUUCAGGGACAUGCCCAUCCUUCUGUGCCAGAGCUGAGCCCUUCUACUGGGGGAACAUGGAGACACGCGAGCUCCAGUCUUCAUUCCACUCCUCCUCCUUCCCUUUGCCCUCCACUGUCUCCUGCUGUCCCCCCAGCUCAUCCCAGGGGCAGGGUAACCUUGG